UACGGGGGGAGCAAGCGUUGUUCGGAAUUACUGGGCGUAAAGGGAGCGUAGGCGGGCUCUUAAGUUGGAUGUUUAAAACCGGGGCCUAACCCCGGCGUGGCAUCCAAAACUGGGAGUCUUGAAUGGGACAGAGGCCAGUGGAAUUAGAGGUGUAGCGGUGGAAUGCGUAGAUAUCUCUAAGAACACCAGUUGCGAAGGCGGCUGGCUGGGUCCACAUUGACGCUGAGGCUCGAAAGCGUGGGGAGCAAACAGG
This 253-nucleotide ribosomal RNA is filed under the name uncultured bacterium. Its description in RNAcentral is "partial 16S ribosomal RNA". It matches the Rfam family "Bacterial small subunit ribosomal RNA", at positions 524 to 776 of the family's 1533-position model. The record is from RNAcentral.